AAGGCAGAACCCGAAAAGCCUGUAAAAGAGUAGGAA
This 36-nucleotide non-coding RNA is filed under the name unclassified sequences. Its description in RNAcentral is "DUF805b RNA". It matches the Rfam family "DUF805b RNA". Rfam says of the family: Bacteroidetes, Chlorobi (1 example), Proteobacteria. Lineage (Flavobacteria) The record is from RNAcentral.